UUCACCCUGGUAUUUCAGUACCCACCUGACACCGCACAUAGUUAUUACAAUAUCAUUGACUAUAGUCCCUGUGCUGUACUUGGAUGUUGCUUUCCGUGUUUGACCUCCUGGAAGGAGAGUUUUACAUUUGACAAAGAUGCUAAUGGACUCAAAUAAGGUCUGUGGGAGGGAAGAGUGUUGAAAGUGGAGAAAUGAACGCAAAAGUUAGGGAAGGUGUUAUAAGGACUGAGCUAAGACCUCAUUAGGACUAGAAAAAAACUGAAGUGGUGCUCCCUGGCCAGGCUGGGUAGCGUGCUGAGCCACAUUAUAAAUAACAGCAGGUAAGAAGUACAACCACCCUUACUGUUCCUCAGAGU
Long non-coding RNA from Myotis davidii, 356 nucleotides. RefSeq lists it as uncharacterized. The transcript has 3 exons. NCBI's taxonomy places the organism in Eukaryota, Metazoa, Chordata, Mammalia, Chiroptera, Vespertilionidae. The record is from RefSeq and is a predicted model, not a curated record.